Molecule: ribosomal RNA, 484 nt
Filed under: uncultured bacterium
Lineage: Bacteria
Description: partial 16S ribosomal RNA
Rfam family: Bacterial small subunit ribosomal RNA
Source: RNAcentral
AUUGAACGCUGGCGGCAGGCCUAACACAUGCAAGUCGAGCGGAUGAAGGGAGCUUGCUCCUGGAUUCAGCGGCGGACGGGUGAGUAAUGCCUAGGAAUCUGCCUGGCAGUGGGGGCUAACGUCCGGAAACGGGCGCUAAUACCGCAUACGUCCUGAUGUAGAAAGUGGGGGAUCUUCGGACCUCACGCUAUCAGAUGAGCCUAGGUCGGAUUAGCUAGUUGGUAGGGUAAAGGCCUACCAAGGCGACGAUCCGUAACUGGUCUGAGAGGAUGAUCAGUCACACUGGAACUGAGACACGGUCCAGACUCCUACGGGAGGCAGCAGUGGGGAAUAUUGGACAAUGGGCGAAAGCCUGAUCCAGCCAUGCCGCGUGUGUGAAGAAGGUCUUCGGAUUGUAAAGCACUUUAAGUUGGGAGGAAGGGCAGUAAGUUAAUACCUUGCUGUUUUGACGUUACCAACAGAAUAAGCACCGGCUAACUUCGUG